RNAcentral lists this ribosomal RNA (731 nucleotides) under Rhagada primigena. RNAcentral describes it as "partial 16S ribosomal RNA". The stretch from base 332 to 497 matches the Rfam family "Archaeal large subunit ribosomal RNA", at positions 1876 to 2091 of the family's 2987-position model. Lineage: Eukaryota; Metazoa; Mollusca; Gastropoda; Stylommatophora; Camaenidae. The record is from RNAcentral.
CACGAAACGAUAGGAGCUAAAGGAUAUAUAUGAUAGUAGGAAAGUGUUGCAGAAUGUGAAAGAGUAUCCUUUAGGGGUGAUAGGCCUGCCAAAUAUCGCGAUAUCUUGUUUAUCUUGAAAAUUUAUCUAGUAAAAAAACAAAUUUAAGGUGCUAAUAUCUUAAAAUAUAAAUUAAUUUUUGAGAGUGUCAACUGUCUGGUGUAAAAACGCACAGAUAACUAUUAAUAGUAUUAAUUUAAAGGGCUUGUUUAAAAUAAGGGAAAAUAUUUUAAUAAUAAUUUAUAUUUAUAAUGUUAAUAUUAGUAAAUAUUUAAAUAUAUUUAAUGAACUCGGCUAAAAUUUCUCGACUGUUUAUCAAAAACAUAGCCAGAUGGUGAUAUAUUUGGUGCUUUCUGCUCAAUGAUAUAUUAAAUAGCCGCAGUACUUUGACUGUGCAAAGGUAGCAUAAUCAAUUGACUUAUAAUUGAAGUCUGGAAUGAAAGGAUUCACGGGAAAUUACUGUAUCAAAUAUUUAUAGUGAAAUUAGGUUUCAAGUGCAAAUGCUUGUAAGUAAUUGUUAGACGAGAAGACCCUAGAAAUUUGUAUAUACGUUUGGUUGGGGCAACAUAGUAGGAAUUAACCUACAGUAGGGACAAGAAAUUAAUUAGCAAGAAUAAAUUACUCUAGGGAUAACAGCAUAAUUUAUAAAAGUUUGUGACCUCGAUGUUGGAUUUGGGAAUUAUAGUUCAGAA